GGCGCAGCCUGAUGCAGCAACGCCGCGUGAGGGACGACGGCCUUCGGGUUGUAAACCUCUUUUAGCAGGGAAGAAGCGAAAGUGACGGUACCUGCAGAAAAAGCGCCGGCUAACUACGUGCCAGCAGCCGCGGUAAUACGUAGGGCGCAAGCGUUAUCCGGAAUUAUUGGGCGUAAAGAGCUCGUAGGCGGUUUGUCGCGUCUGCUGUGAAAUCCGGAGGCUCAACCUCCGGCCUGCAGUGGGUACGGGCAGACUAGAGUGCGGUAGGGGAGAUUGGAAUUCCUGGUGUAGCGGUGGAAUGCGCAGAUAUCAGGAGGAACACCGAUGGCGAAGGCAGAUCUCUGGGCCGUAACUGACGCUGAGGAGCGAAAGGGUGGGGAGCAAACAGGCUUAGAUACCCUGGUAGUCCACCCCGUAAACGUUGGGAACUAGUUGUGGGGUCCAUUCCACGGAUUCCGUGACGCAGCUAACGCAUUAAGUUCCCCGCCUGGGGAGUACGGCCGCAAGGCUAAAACUCAAAGGAAUUGACGGGGACCCGCACAAGCGGCGGAGCAUGCGGAUUAAUUCGAUGCAACGCGAAGAACCUUACCAAGGCUUGACAUAUACGAGAACGGGUCAGAAAUGGUCAACUCUUUGGACACUCGUAAACAGGUGGUGCAUGGUUGUCGUCAGCUCGUGUCGUGAGAUGUUGGGUUAAGUCCCGCAACGAGCGCAACCCUCGUUCUAUGUUGCCAGCACGUAAUGGUGGGAACUCAUGGGAUACUGCCGGGGUCAACUCGGAGGAAGGUGGGGAUGACGUCAAAUCAUCAUGCCCCUUAUGUCUUGGGCUUCACGCAUGCUACAAUGGCCGGUACAAAGGGCUGCAAUACCGUGAGGUGAGCGAAUCCCAAAAGCCGGUCCCAGUUCGGAUUGAGGUCUGCAAC
This 923-nucleotide ribosomal RNA is filed under the name Microbacterium oxydans. RNAcentral's name for it is "bacterial SSU rRNA". It matches the Rfam family "Bacterial small subunit ribosomal RNA", at positions 374 to 1311 of the family's 1533-position model. Lineage: Bacteria; Bacillati; Actinomycetota; Actinomycetes; Micrococcales; Microbacteriaceae. The record is from RNAcentral.